RNAcentral lists this transfer RNA (72 nucleotides) under Candidatus Omnitrophica bacterium 4484_70.1. RNAcentral describes it as "tRNA-Ala". It matches the Rfam family "tRNA". From Rfam's summary of the family: Transfer RNA (tRNA) molecules are approximately 80 nucleotides in length. Lineage: Bacteria; Pseudomonadati; Candidatus Omnitrophota. The record is from RNAcentral.
GGGCCUGUAGCUCAGUGGGAGAGCACUUGCUUUGCACGCAAGGGGUCAGGAGUUCAAAUCUCCUCAGGUCCA